UCCACCGCUGCAACACCUCGUGCCUGCGCCGCCGCGUCCUCCAACUUCAUCUCCUUGGUCUCCUCCCUCAAGUCCUGCCUCGCAUCUCAGAGGCCCUCGCCUGGUGAGCAGCAUCACGGAGGCCGUCGCCUGCCUCCACCCCUCGACGCCUUCCGUAACCUGCAGGGGUGUUCUCCAAUUAGUGCCGGAAUUAUUUAGUUUCAUAGACUCUAAAUUUAGCAGGCUAAUAAGUGUUGGUUCAGGAUUGAGGUUCUAUAUUAUUUAGGUGUGUUUAUAGUACAUAUGGAAGCAUACUGGAGGUCUGAAGUCUGAAACGCAUUGUCAACAGUUUCCUUGAUAACAAGCACACGAUGUCCAAUAUAUCAUACGAAUUAGGGUGAGUUAUGCACCACCUGAAAGCACACCUUGCACCAAAUGAACUGCUGGGAUCAGGUUGGACAUUUGAGUAUAGUGUUGGCAUGCAUCCCAGCUACGAGAGCUUUCAGGUACUGGACCAAUGUGCUUGUAUUGACCAUCGACAUAUUCUCUCUGCUCACCACUUGGCAUCCAAUGUAAGAAAUCUUGAAAUAUCAUGAAAUGCUAAAUAUUUGUUGCAAUUAACUUUUGUUUUAGCAUGUCUGUUAACAACUCAUUUUCUACUCUUACGAGUUAUGAUCCCCACCAUCGAGUCCGCCAGCGUCGACGCUGCCAGGUGGUGGAUGCCUGCUUGCCAGGGCCACGUUGACGCGAAGCAUAUAUGUCCACUGCCUGUCUUGCCGUAGGGGAGUUCCGCGAGGUCCUGAUCCGGCAUUGAUCCGAUGACGCCUUCAUGGCUAAGAGUUUGGUGCUCCCUACGGCCGGCGACGUAGCAGGCGGAGGUUCCUCUUGACUCGUCGUGCAACACCUUUGUCGAUCUGGGUGACGCUGCAGUAAAGAUAGAACUGUUGUUGUGCCAAUUGUCUCCCUCCCACGCCAGUGAAGGUGCAUGAAUAAAUAUAUCUGUUGCCCUGUGUAUAAAUUAUACUUACGUGCCUUUUCAAUUUAAACCAUGAAAUAUAUCAUUAUAUUACUUUAGUUUUCUGCAUCUACUUGACUAGAACGAGUAUGCUUCAAACAUAGCUAAAAGGGAUGCUUUCCAUGAGAAAGAGAGAUUUUUCUAAAUAUCUGCACUCCAAAUACACAUCAUGGCUCUUUUUGUUUGUGUAAAUUUGUUCAUAAUGACUAUCAAAUGUCCAUCCAGUACUCUGUUUUGGUUUACCAAGUACUAACAUUAUAGGAUGUCGCAUAUUCCAUCUCAUAUUUGCUUAAGUAUUAGCAUAUGACUUGUUAGGCUGCAGGCUCAUUCUCAGUUUUUAAAAGUAUAUACGAACCUUCAGAUUUUUCAAAUAUUUGCAGAAGUUUCGGUACUAAAGAACAUCAGUUUAUUCAAAUAUUGUUCGAAAUAAGGAGAAUUAGCAAAGAUGAUUUGCAAAUUAAUGUGUGAAGAGCAUCUUUUUUUAUCUAUUCAUAUGAUUUAGCAGCUUGAUUUGUGUCUGUCGGUACCGGUGCCCUCGGUGGGUUGGUAGGUGUGGCUUUGAAUUUUGCAGAGAUAUUUUGGGGGCAUAUCUCCUAUUUCCUCCCAAUUAACUUGGAUUGUGUUGUACCAGCUAAGAUCUAUGUCUUCCUUUGGUUGGUAUUAAACAACACAAUCGUUACUAGAAAAUUUAGGGAAAAUAUAGGCAUGUUAGUGAUCCAACUUGUGUUCUAUAAUCAGAGAUGUCUUUUUUUUAAUCAUUUCUUCCGUUACAAUAGUCUGGACAAUGUCGCUCAAAUUAUUCAGUUAACUGUGGGAGAUGACCUUUUGUCAAUUUUAUGAUCAAAGAUGUUAUUUUUUCUAUCAUUUGUUCGUUACAAUCUUCGUGCCCAACAGGUCAGCUGUCGCUCAAAUUAUUCAGUUAACCGUGGGAGAUUGUAAGGGUAUUUCACCCUUAUCCAUUAU
Lolium rigidum is the source of this 1957-nucleotide long non-coding RNA. RefSeq lists it as uncharacterized. The transcript has 4 exons. The record is from RefSeq and is a predicted model, not a curated record. NCBI's taxonomy places the organism in Eukaryota, Viridiplantae, Streptophyta, Magnoliopsida, Poales, Poaceae.